GGCUUACUAAACUCUUUGGCGUAAUUAAAGUAAGAUAAAGCGCGUUAUUCCUUAUGGGAGGAUGCGUGGCUGAUCCUGGUUGGUGAGGAAUUUUUUUCUUUACUAUUCAGGCGCAAGCUGGGGGCCUGUCGAUGUUGGCUUAUGUCUGGAGAGACCGUGGUGCUCAGCAUUUGCGGCAGUUCCGGUUGGUCGACCGGCAGGCACCUUUAGCGUAAAUGUUAGUACCCGAAAGAUGGUGAUCUAUGCUUGGCUAGAACGAAGCUGGGGGAAACUCUGGUGGAAGUUCGUAGCGGUUCUGACGUGCAAAUCGAUCGUCGGAGCUGAGUAUAGGGGCGAAAGACCAAUCGAACUAUCUAGUAGCUGGUUCCUUCCGAAAAUG
Molecule: ribosomal RNA, 379 nt
Filed under: Campylaspis globosa
Lineage: Eukaryota; Metazoa; Arthropoda; Malacostraca; Cumacea; Nannastacidae
Description: partial large subunit ribosomal RNA
Rfam family: Eukaryotic large subunit ribosomal RNA
Source: RNAcentral